This 253-nucleotide ribosomal RNA is filed under the name uncultured bacterium. RNAcentral's name for it is "partial 16S ribosomal RNA". It matches the Rfam family "Bacterial small subunit ribosomal RNA", at positions 524 to 776 of the family's 1533-position model. The record is from RNAcentral.
UACGAAGGGGGCUAGCGUUGCUCGGAAUCACUGGGCGUAAAGGGUGCGUAGGCGGCUUUGUAAGUUAGAGGUGAAAGCCCGGGGCUCAACUCCGGAAUUGCCUUUAAGACUGCAUCGCUAGAAUUGUGGAGAGGUAAGUGGAAUUCCGAGUGUAGAGGUGAAAUUCGUAGAUAUUCGGAAGAACACCAGUGGCGAAGGCGACUUACUGGACACAUAUUGACGCUGAGGUGCGAAAGCGUGGGGAGCAAACAGG